CAUAACUGUUAUCUUAGAAAGUGUCCAUUGAGUAUUUACUAGUUGACCACUAUUUCAUUCUGAGCGGCCUGAGACAGGAGAUGUUCAUUUAAAUGCUCACAGACUGAUAAGAACUUGAGACGAUUCACAAUCCAACACAAAAUCCAAUGUGACAAUAGAAGUGAUCAUGGUAGAUCACUCCAUGUGUAAGAACCAGGUGAUUCACACAUGGACCGGCAGUUAUCACUCUAGAUUGAGUGUAGGUACACAGCCAAAUGAUACUUUCACUGAUGAAUUUAGAACCAUGUAUUUCACUAUGUAUGUGGAAGAAUUUUAGUAAAUCUUUAUAAAUUAUAAAAAAGAAAGAAUUGU
Ictalurus punctatus (channel catfish) is the source of this 351-nucleotide long non-coding RNA. The record is from Ensembl. NCBI's taxonomy places the organism in Eukaryota, Metazoa, Chordata, Actinopteri, Siluriformes, Ictaluridae.